This 472-nucleotide ribosomal RNA is filed under the name uncultured bacterium. RNAcentral describes it as "bacterial SSU rRNA". It matches the Rfam family "Bacterial small subunit ribosomal RNA", at positions 355 to 825 of the family's 1533-position model. The record is from RNAcentral.
UGGGGAAUUUUGGACAAUGGGCGAAAGCCUGAUCCAGCAAUGCCGCGUGAGUGAAGAAGGCCUUCGGGUUGUAAAGCUCUUUUGUCAAGGAAGAAACGGUGAGAGCUAAUAUCUCUUGCUAAUGACGGUACCUGAAGAAUAAGCACCGGCUAACUACGUGCCAGCAGCCGCGGUAACACGUAGGGUGCAAGCGUUAAUCGGAAUUACUGGGCGUAAAGCGUGCGCAGGCGGUUUUGUAAGUCUGAUGUGAAAUCCCCGGGCUCAACCUGGGAAUUGCAUUGGAGACUGCAAGGCUAGAAUCUGGCAGAGGGGGGUAGAAUUCCACGUGUAGCAGUGAAAUGCGUAGAUAUGUGGAGGAACACCGAUGGCGAAGGCAGCCCCCUGGGUCAAGAUUGACGCUCAUGCACGAAAGCGUGGGGAGCAAACAGGAUUAGAUACCCCGGUAGUCCCUGAGCGGGCUGGCAAGGCGCAU